GGGCAGCACGGACUUCGGUUCUGGUGGCGAGUGGCGAACGGGUGACUAUAACUCUGAACGUGCCUAGUAGCGGGGGAUAACUACGCCAAAGCGUBGCUAAUACCGCAUACGCCCUACGGGGGAAAGCAGGGGAUCGCAAGACCUUGCACUAUUAGAGCGGCCGAUAUCGGAUUAGCUAGUUGGUGGGGUAACGGCUCACCAAGGCGACUAUCCGUAGCUGGUUUGAGAGGACGACCAGCCACACUGGGACUGAGACACGGCCCAGACUCCUACCGGAGGCAGCAGUGGGGAAUUUUGGACACUGGGGGCAACCCUGAUCCACCAAUGCCGCGUGUGCGAAGAAGGCCUUCGGGUUGUAAAGCACUUUUGUUCGGGAAGAAAGCGCCUGG
RNAcentral lists this ribosomal RNA (389 nucleotides) under uncultured Achromobacter sp. RNAcentral's name for it is "bacterial SSU rRNA". It matches the Rfam family "Bacterial small subunit ribosomal RNA", at positions 64 to 458 of the family's 1533-position model. The record is from RNAcentral. Lineage: Bacteria; Pseudomonadati; Pseudomonadota; Betaproteobacteria; Burkholderiales; Alcaligenaceae.